AGUCGAGCGGCAGCACGGGUACUUGUACCUGGUGGCGAGCGGCGGACGGGUGAGUAAUGCCUAGGAAUCUGCCUGGUAGUGGGGGAUAACGCUCGGAAACGGACGCUAAUACCGCAUACGUCCUACGGGAGAAAGCAGGGGACCUUCGGGCCUUGCGCUAUCAGAUGAGCCUAGGUCGGAUUAGCUAGUUGGUGAGGUAAUGGCUCACCAAGGCGACGAUCCGUAACUGGUCUGAGAGGAUGAUCAGUCACACUGGAACUGAGACACGGUCCAGACUCCUACGGGAGGCAGCAGUGGGGAAUAUUGGACAAUGGGCGAAAGCCUGAUCCAGCCAUGCCGCGUGUGUGAAGAAGGUCUUCGGAUUGUAAAGCACUUUAAGUUGGGAGGAAGGGCAUUUACCUAAUACGUAAGUGUUUUGACGUUACCGACAGAAUAAGCACCGGCUAACUCUGUGCCAGCAGCCGCGGUAAUACAGAGGGUGCAAGCGUUAAUCGGAAUUACUGGGCGUAAAGCGCGCGUAGGUGGUUUGUUAAGUUGGAUGUGAAAUCCCCGGGCUCAACCUGGGAACUGCAUUCAAAACUGACAAGCUAGAGUAUGGUAGAGGGUGGUGGAAUUUCCUGUGUAGCGGUGAAAUGCGUAGAUAUAGGAAGGAACACCAGUGGCGAAGGCGACCACCUGGACUGAUACUGACACUGAGGUGCGAAA
Molecule: ribosomal RNA, 705 nt
Filed under: Pseudomonas sp. GZJR-5
Lineage: Bacteria; Pseudomonadati; Pseudomonadota; Gammaproteobacteria; Pseudomonadales; Pseudomonadaceae
Description: bacterial SSU rRNA
Rfam family: Bacterial small subunit ribosomal RNA
Source: RNAcentral